AUGAGCCCCAGGCAAGGCAUGAGGGAGCCCAUUCUGCCUGGGCUGCUCUUAGGGGCGCAGUAUUACCAAGAGACUGAGCAGGGUCAUAUCAGAGUUACCUUUUUCAUCUGUAAAGGAUAUAUCAAGCCAUUUGUGUAACUGUCCAGAGGAUUCACAAAGAGCUUCAGUAUGCACCACAAGGGGCUUGACUGCAUAGGCGCAGUAUUAUGAAGAGGCUGAGCAGGGUCACCUUUUUCAUCUGUCAAGGAUAAGUCUGUGAUGACUCCUGUCGGGUCUGCUGUGUAUUCAUGGCCUUUUGGCAUUUGCGGACCUGCAAGGAGCUGUGCCGUUAGCGUGUCCAUCACGGGCAUGACCUUCUCUUUUUGCUUCUAGUAGCCCAGGUCGUAGGCACGGACUACGCUGGAA
This 405-nucleotide long non-coding RNA is filed under the name Anser brachyrhynchus (Pink-footed goose). RNAcentral's name for it is "lncRNA (ENSABRG00000003714.1)". Lineage: Eukaryota; Metazoa; Chordata; Aves; Anseriformes; Anatidae. The record is from RNAcentral.